Molecule: long non-coding RNA, 464 nt
Filed under: Rattus norvegicus (Norway rat)
Lineage: Eukaryota; Metazoa; Chordata; Mammalia; Rodentia; Muridae
Description: long non-coding RNA NONRATT021628
Source: RNAcentral
ACGAAGUACACAAGCAGUCCAGUCGAAGAUCCAGGAAUUGGGGGUCCCUAGUUUUAAAUCGUGAGGUGUACUGAUUCUCUGGGAUCGGCCCCAAGACUUCAGCCUAGGUCUACCUAGGCAAUAACCUCUCAAAGACUGGAGCCAUUCUAGUGUCUAAGCCCAGGUUUGAGGCUGUGAUGACUCAACGCGGCAUCGCCUCCCCUUGCUAAACUGUGGUCUCCGCCUACCCUCAAUCAAUCUCAAGGAAGUACUUUGGGCGCCAGGAUUCUCAGCACUUAGCUGGUGGGUGAAGGGGUUCACCCUCUUCCCCAUAUCCCACCUUCCCUCCUCCCAGUCUUCCGGAGUGCGGAACUCCUGCCGGGAUCCAAGAGCAGGCUCUUGGUAGUCGAAGAAGGAUAUAACCUCCAGACCCGGAAUUUAAGACGCAAGAACCAGCCAGCAAAUGUGGCAGCCGAGCAUGCGAG